UGAGGAUGAUUUGAAUACAAUUUGCAAGGAGAAAGGGAAGAAACAUCACAUGGAUCGGAGAUGUAUUUUGUAGACUAAAUUUUUCCUUAUGCAUAAAUGAGCUACUGGAAAAUCAUUUCGGCUGACAUCAUACACAAAAAAAAACAAAAACUUGAUCCGAAACACAACAUGUUGAACAGUAGGACAUUCAUAGAGUUUGAUCACUGCUACUAUUAGCAACAAUAGGUUGCUUGAACAUGAAUCUCAAGGCUACAAUUUCCGACAAUAGAGAGCAUUAGAAAAUACACUUCAUACACAAACAAACUAAUCACACACAAACUUGUGCUAUAACAGGUAUGACAAACAGAGACAUUAGGAAGGGAUAAAAUCGACAAAGAAUUCAUAACGUACUUUUGAAAACUUUACCCUGUUCCUAAAACAACAUUAACUAACAAAUGAAUUAAGAUCAAAAGGAAAUUUACCUUUUUCGGUGCAGCGAGCUUAACCAUGAAACUUUCACCACCACACGAGGGAUUCAAGCAAAAUUGAACAACUAACACG
This 540-nucleotide unclassified non-coding RNA is filed under the name Hevea brasiliensis (rubber tree). Lineage: Eukaryota; Viridiplantae; Streptophyta; Magnoliopsida; Malpighiales; Euphorbiaceae. The record is from RNAcentral.